RNAcentral lists this transfer RNA (72 nucleotides) under Cordylochernes scorpioides. Its description in RNAcentral is "tRNA-Thr". It matches the Rfam family "tRNA". Rfam says of the family: Transfer RNA (tRNA) molecules are approximately 80 nucleotides in length. Their secondary structure includes four short double-helical elements and three loops (D, anti-codon, and T loops). Further hydrogen bonds mediate the characteristic L-shaped molecular structure. tRNAs have two regions of fundamental functional importance: the anti-codon, which is responsible for specific mRNA codon recognition, and the 3' end, to which the tRNAs corresponding amino acid is attached (by aminoacyl-tRNA synthetases). tRNAs cope with the degeneracy of the genetic code in two manners: having more than one tRNA (with a specific anti-codon) for a particular amino acid; and 'wobble' base-pairing, i.e. permitting non-standard base-pairing at the 3rd anti-codon position. The record is from RNAcentral. Lineage: Eukaryota; Metazoa; Arthropoda; Arachnida; Pseudoscorpiones; Chernetidae.
GGCCCAGUGGCCAAGUGGUAAGGCGUUGGUCUUGUAAACCAAAGAUCCAGGGUUCAAAUCCCUGCUGGGCCU